RNAcentral lists this ribosomal RNA (301 nucleotides) under uncultured bacterium. RNAcentral describes it as "partial 16S ribosomal RNA". It matches the Rfam family "Bacterial small subunit ribosomal RNA", at positions 509 to 807 of the family's 1533-position model. The record is from RNAcentral.
CAGUAGCCGCGGGAAUACGAAGGGGGCUAGCGUUGUUCGGAAUCACUGGGCGUAAAGGGUGCGUAGGCGGGCAUUUAAGUCAGGGGUGAAAUCCCGAGGCUCAACCUCGGAACUGCCCUUGAUACUGGGUGUCUUGAGUCCGGAAGAGGUGAGUGGAACUGCGAGUGUAGAGGUGAAAUUCGUAGAUAUUCGCAAGAACACCGGUGGCGAAGGCGGCUCACUGGUCCGGAACUGACGCUGAGGCACGACAGCGUGGGGAGCAAACAGGAUUAGAUACCCCUGUAGUCCCUGUCUCUUAUAC